Long non-coding RNA from Oncorhynchus masou masou (cherry salmon), 407 nucleotides. RefSeq lists it as uncharacterized. The record is from RefSeq and is a predicted model, not a curated record. The transcript is spliced from 3 exons. NCBI's taxonomy places the organism in Eukaryota, Metazoa, Chordata, Actinopteri, Salmoniformes, Salmonidae.
GUGACAUACCUGGAGUUCAAGCGUCCCCAGGGCUUUGUGUACCGCUCAGGCCAGUGGGUGAGGGUGGCGUGUCUGGCGCUUGGCACAGAUGAGUAUCACCCAUUCACCCUGACGUCAGCUCCACAUGAGGAGACCCUCAGCCUUCACAUCCGCGCCAUAGGCCCCUGGACCAGCCACCUCCGAGAGGCAUACGCCCCCAACAACCUGGAACAACUGCGAACAUAUCCAAAGCUGUACCUGGACGGGCCAUUUGGGGAGGGCCACCAGGAGUGGACAAAUUUUGAGGUGUCAGUCCUGGUGGGAGGAGGGAUUGGUGUCACCCCCUUCGCUUCCAUCCUCAAGGACCUGGUGUUCAAGUCCUCAGUCAAGUUCAAGAUACAGUGUAAAAAAAUAUACUUUAUCUGGGG